Molecule: ribosomal RNA, 322 nt
Filed under: uncultured eukaryote
Lineage: Eukaryota
Description: partial 18S ribosomal RNA
Rfam family: Eukaryotic small subunit ribosomal RNA
Source: RNAcentral
CCCUUAGAUGUUCUGGGCCGCACGCGUGCUACACUGAGUGGAUCAGCGGGUCAGGUUGCACGAAAGUGUUUCCUAAUCUUGAAAUCCGCUCGUGAUGGGGAUUGACGGUUGCAAUUUUCCGUCAUGAACGAGGAAUACCUUGUAAGCGCGGGUCAUCAUCCCGCGCUGAAUACGUCCCUGCCCUUUGUACACACCGCCCGUCGCUCCUACCGAUUGAGUGGUCCGGUGAGGCUUUGGGAUCUGAGCAAAGAGAGCGUUUCGCUCGUUUUGCCCGGAAAACUCAGUCGAACCUUAUCAUUUAGAGGAAGGAGAAGUCGUAACA